RNA transcript from Cornus florida, 2036 nucleotides. RefSeq lists it as uncharacterized. Lineage: Eukaryota; Viridiplantae; Streptophyta; Magnoliopsida; Cornales; Cornaceae. The transcript is spliced from 7 exons. The record is from RefSeq and is a predicted model, not a curated record.
AAUAAUCCUGUGCAGAUCGUUACAGAACUAAAUUAAGUUGAAGAAGUGAGACACACAUUACACACACCGUCCAUGAAAAAUGACCUCCCUGAUUGCUCGUAGUCUGAUACCAAGAAACAACCCAACGCUUUCAUGCAAAAUCAACCACUCCUCAAUUCCCUUCACCACAAACCCAACUCCAUCUCUCAGUUUCUCUUUCUCUCUCUUCAAACCCCAAUUUCUGUCUUUUAAUAACUCAGGAUGUGGCCGAGUCCACUCAGUCCAUCCACACAGAUCUUCCCAAAAUCCAUUAAGAAUCCUGUUCAGUCUCGAGACACUCAUUCUCUUCAUAUUCUCUCUCUCUCUUCUCUGCCUCAGGAUCGCCUCGGAUGUCAUCGUCCCCGAUUUCACUCACCGAUGGCAUCAACUCAUUGCGUUCUCCGAAGAGUCUGAGGCCAAGUUUAGCCAUUACCCGUCGCAUUUGUGGCGAGCUGUUGUUGCCUACGAAGACCGGCGGUUCUUUCGGCAUUUUGGGAUCGACCCAGUUGGCAUUGGCCGGGCUGUGUUGUCCUUUUCGGCUCUUGGAGGUGGUAGCACUAUAACCCAACAGCUUGUCAAGAACACUUUAUUGAAAAAUGAACGUACAUUCUCGAGGAAAAUUGUUGAGAUGGUUUUGGCUCUAGCAUUGGAGAGGACAAUUUCAAAAUUGAGAAUCUUGAGCUCCUAUUUGAGUAAGAUAUACUGGGGACAUGGUAUUUAUGGCAUUGAAUUGGCAUCAUAUUUUUAUUUCCGGAAGCAUCCAACCAUUCUCAGUUUGGGGGAGUGUGCAAUGCUUGCCGGGAUUAUACCAGCACCAGAGCUCCGAUCGCCACUCAGGGACCCCGGCAGAGGGAAGAAAUACCAAGUUAGAGUACUGAAAAGAAUGGUGGAAGUUGGUUUUCUUGAUAUCGAGACAGCACUUAUGGUUGUGAAACAAUCUGUUCAUUUGCAUGCCGAUCAGGCAGAUUAUGUGGAUGGAUUGUUGCCUUUGAUGUCUUCCUUUAGGGAGCAGAAAGGAAGUAUGGAUUCUAUAAUGAAGGAAAUAUGGGACUGGGAAACUGAAAGCAAGAUUUGGGAAGCAAGAGAGGACAUGGAAAGAUGGGCACUAAGCAUCCAGAAAAGAAAUACAUCAAAAAUUUCUAUUUCAAAUGACAAACUGGAUAUUCAAUUGUAAUAGACAACUGUAUCAGAUAGUAACCUUUUUGACUGUUUGACAAACGUUUGGGAAUUCAAUCCGGGGCCUGUUCCAGGAACUUGCAGCCUUUUUUUCUUGGUGGAUUUCAAGUUCCAGUCACCACCUUAUCGACAGAUGGCAUCAGUGUUCUUUAAGGAGGCGGUCUCUCGGCUUGUUAGUUCAUUCAAUGAUCGUUGUCGUGUGAUAUAUGGACCAGGGGUUCGAAUCCUUGAAAACACUUACGGCCAAGGAGUGUGAAAGUGUUCGGCUUAUUUGAUGAUGAUACCUUGUAAACUCGAAUGCCAAUUUAUAUCCUCUGUGCGCUUCACACAAAUUUCAAAUCAACGGAAUCUAAUUCAUUUCUCACCAUGUCCGCUAGAUUGUUGUUCUGUGUACUGGCCGGGGCCCAUUGCUCAUUUAUUUUUGCCGGGUGCUGUGCGAAGGUUCGCUUCUAAGGCCCGCUUGCUAACUGUUCUCGGUUGUUGUUUAUCAUUUAAGCUUAAAUGCAAGUAGUGUUUAUGUUAGGUUGUUGUUUAUCAAUAAUUGAAAUAUUGUUUGAUAACACGGAAAUGCUGAGCUUGUUUUGAAAAUGAAAAACAAAGAACAUUGUCUGUUAACCUUAAAUUAUUUAAAGAAAAAUAUAACAAAAUAAGUUGUUUAGUAAUUCUAAAAUGUUUGAAGAAAUUGAAAAUGGAGACAUAGCCUUCUUCUAGAAAUUGUCUGAAGCCUAUUUUUUAUUUUUAUUUUUAGUUUGGGACUUGCACGUGCUCAUCUUCAUGGUAUGUUGAUCAAAGCAAUUUUUUUAUUUAUUUUUAACCUGGCAAUGGUUAGAGAGUUAGGAAUU